CGGGGGGAGCAAGCGUUGUUCGGAUUUACUGGGCGUAAAGGGCGCGUAGGCGGUCGUGACAAGUCACUUGUGAAAUCUCCGGGCUUAACUCGGAACGGUCAAGUGAUACUGUCGGACUAGAGUACAGAAGGGGCAACUGGAAUUCUCGGUGUAGCGGUGAAAUGCGUAGAUAUCGAGAGGAACACCUGCGGCGAAGGCGGGUUGCUGGGCUGAUACUGACGCUGAGGCGCGAAAGCCAGGGGAGCGAACGGG
This 252-nucleotide ribosomal RNA is filed under the name uncultured bacterium. Its description in RNAcentral is "partial 16S ribosomal RNA". It matches the Rfam family "Bacterial small subunit ribosomal RNA", at positions 526 to 776 of the family's 1533-position model. The record is from RNAcentral.